RNAcentral lists this ribosomal RNA (345 nucleotides) under Triticum aestivum (bread wheat). RNAcentral describes it as "partial small subunit ribosomal RNA". The record is from RNAcentral. Lineage: Eukaryota; Viridiplantae; Streptophyta; Magnoliopsida; Poales; Poaceae.
AUGAAGUGGCAGCCGUUCAAGUCCACGUUCGUGCUGAACAAGAUAUGUGAGCUCAUCUCUAGUGGAGUUAGGACUGACAAGGGCUUCAAGGAGGUGCACUUGAACACCAUUGCGAAGCAGGUGUUCGAGUUCUGUGGGCAAGAGGUGUCUGCCACCCAGUACAUCUUCUCCUUCGGGCUGGCAACUGGGAAGCAUGCCAUGGGCUCGGGUGAGCCUCUUGGUUCUCCCAUGCCAGACUUCCCUGGGACACCGGACGUCGAGGAUAUUGAUGGCCCUGACAAGCCCGUUGCGAAGCCCUUCGACAAGCCAUUUGACCCCGUCCAUGAUAGGAAGAGGAAGAGAUGA